AAAAGGGGGCAACGGGGGUACGUGGAAACCCUUCCCGGAAGUCGGAAACGAUUAAUACGGUACGCCUCGGGGAAGAUUUCGGGAAGGAUGGCCCGCGUGGAUAAGCAUGUGGUGGGGUAAAGGCUACCAGGCGCCGAUCCAUAGCUGUCUGAGAGGAUAUCAGCCACAUUGGGACUAGACAGGGCCCAAACUCCAAGGGAGGCAGCAGUGGGGAAUAUGGGACAAUGGGCGCAAGCCUGAUCCAGCCAUGCCGCGUGAGUGAUGAAGGCCUUAGGGUUGUAAAGCUCUUUCACCGAAGAAAAAAAUGACGGUAGUCGGAGAAGAAGCCCCGGCUAACUUCGUGCCAGCAGCCGCGGUAAUACGAAGGGGGCUAGCGUUGUUCGGAAUUACUGGGCGUAAAGCGCACGUAGGCGGAUAUUUAAGUCAGGGGUGAAAUCCCGCAGCUCAACUGCGGAACUGCCUUUGAUACUGGGUAUCUUGAGUAUGGAAGAGGUAAGUGGAAUUCCGAGUGUAGAGGUGAAAUUCGUAGAUAUUCGGAGGAACACCAGUGGCGAAGGCGGCUUACGGUCCAUUACGACGCGAGGUGGAAAGCGGGAGUAUAGCGUGUUAGGC
RNAcentral lists this ribosomal RNA (612 nucleotides) under Aliirhizobium cellulosilyticum. RNAcentral describes it as "bacterial SSU rRNA". It matches the Rfam family "Bacterial small subunit ribosomal RNA", at positions 91 to 783 of the family's 1533-position model. Lineage: Bacteria; Pseudomonadati; Pseudomonadota; Alphaproteobacteria; Hyphomicrobiales; Rhizobiaceae. The record is from RNAcentral.